This 253-nucleotide ribosomal RNA is filed under the name uncultured bacterium. RNAcentral's name for it is "partial 16S ribosomal RNA". It matches the Rfam family "Bacterial small subunit ribosomal RNA", at positions 524 to 776 of the family's 1533-position model. The record is from RNAcentral.
UACGUAGGGUGCGAGCGUUGUCCGGAAUUAUUGGGCGUAAAGAGCUCGUAGGCGGUUUGUCGCGUCGGGAGUGAAAACCUUGGGCUUAACUCAGGGCUUGCUUUCGAUACGGGCAGACUAGAGGUAUGCAGGGGAGAACGGAAUUCCUGGUGUAGCGGUGAAAUGCGCAGAUAUCAGGAGGAACACCGGUGGCGAAGGCGGUUCUCUGGGCAUGAUCUGACGCUGAGGAGCGAAAGUGUGGGGAGCGAACAGG